Molecule: long non-coding RNA, 680 nt
Filed under: Macaca fascicularis (crab-eating macaque)
Lineage: Eukaryota; Metazoa; Chordata; Mammalia; Primates; Cercopithecidae
Description: lncRNA (ENSMFAG00000059540.1)
Source: RNAcentral
UUCCAAAUAGAGUUGCUAUUUGGAUGGCUGGAGGCUACAGAAUGCCCUCAGAUUGCCUGGUCAGAAAGGAAUGCAAAUAGUUGGAAAUCUUUCAGUUAUUUGUUAUCCAAGGUCAUGAGGCAACAGAAUUCCACAAUGAUAUGGUUGAGGAAAAUGGAGAACUGUCCACUGAGGAGCCCAGCAUAAUAAUGAACAACUAUCUGGAAUCUUUGGCUUCGGUACCAAGCUAAUACUGCCCUAGGUAGGUUAAAUUAAAAAAAAAAAAGUGGAAAAUAACUUUGCUUUCAUGGCAUGCUUGGUUAGGCACUUACUGGCCCUUUAAAGUAGAAUAACAGCAACUCAGAACACCUUUAGGCCAGAGUGUCUUAUCCUUGGCACUACUGAUAUUUUGGGUUCAAUAAUUCUUUGCUUUUGGGGGGCUGCAAAUUCUCAGGGCCUAUUACACUACUAUAAAGUGAGAGUGGCACCACCCCUCCAAGUGAUUCUGAGGCUGGUUAAAGUUUGAGGAACAGUAAUCUAACCCAACUCUCUCAUUUUACAAUAAAAGAAACCAGUUGGUUAAGCCUUAUCUCAGAUUAAAUGUCUGGUUAGAGUCAAAACGGUACAUUAUAUCUUAUUCUCCACAGAAUUUGCUAAGUGUGGCCUUGGAGAAAGAGGUGGGUAUCCUGCAAAGAUAUUUC